GACGAACCGAGCGAACGUUGUUCGGAAUCACUGGGCUUAAAGGGCGCGUAGGCGGGCUGUCAAGUCUGGGGUGAAAUCCCGCGGCUCAACCGUGGAACUGCCUCAGAUACUGACGGUCUCGAGGGAGGUAGGGGCGAGCGGAACUGAUGGUGGAGCGGUGAAAUGCGUUGAUAUCAUCAGGAACUCCGGUGGCGAAGGCGGCUCGCUGGACCUUUUCUGACGCUGAGGCGCGAAAGCUAGGGGAGCAAACAGG
Molecule: ribosomal RNA, 253 nt
Filed under: uncultured bacterium
Lineage: Bacteria
Description: partial 16S ribosomal RNA
Rfam family: Bacterial small subunit ribosomal RNA
Source: RNAcentral